ACACAUUAAAAAAUGUGAAAUAUCCACCAUAUAUACUCUUGUGUAUAACUGGUAUCAGUUGAUCAGAUUCUGAACUACAGUUCAUAGAGUCUGACAACUUGAAGAAAGCUGAUUGAGAAUGCAUGCCAUGUUGAUUAACUUCCGUGGGUGCUACUCAACAGCAAAAGGAACUAGCUGAAUGAGUKUGCAUGUGCCAUGUUGAUUAACUUCCGUGGAUGCUACUCAACAGCAAAAGAAAUCUAUUCUAUUGAUCGGUCGACUUCCUGGCAUACAUACACCAUGUAUUGCCUAGUGUCCCAGAUAGAUAGAUGGUAAGCAAAACACAAUAUUGUGUUUGCUCAGUGUCAAAAUGAAAAUGACAAAAUAGCCAAUACUAAAUGUGAUCAUUAGCCAGCAAGAAUAUAAA
This 406-nucleotide unclassified non-coding RNA is filed under the name Sogatella furcifera (white-backed planthopper). The record is from RNAcentral. Lineage: Eukaryota; Metazoa; Arthropoda; Insecta; Hemiptera; Delphacidae.